UUAAAAAGUAGCCAAGUGGUAAGGCAACGGAUUUUGAUUCCGAGAUACAUAGGUUCGAAUCCUUUCUUUUUAA
RNAcentral lists this transfer RNA (73 nucleotides) under Toxoplasma gondii. Its description in RNAcentral is "transfer RNA-Gln". It matches the Rfam family "tRNA". Rfam says of the family: Transfer RNA (tRNA) molecules are approximately 80 nucleotides in length. Their secondary structure includes four short double-helical elements and three loops (D, anti-codon, and T loops). Further hydrogen bonds mediate the characteristic L-shaped molecular structure. tRNAs have two regions of fundamental functional importance: the anti-codon, which is responsible for specific mRNA codon recognition, and the 3' end, to which the tRNAs corresponding amino acid is attached (by aminoacyl-tRNA synthetases). tRNAs cope with the degeneracy of the genetic code in two manners: having more than one tRNA (with a specific anti-codon) for a particular amino acid; and 'wobble' base-pairing, i.e. permitting non-standard base-pairing at the 3rd anti-codon position. The record is from RNAcentral. Lineage: Eukaryota; Apicomplexa; Conoidasida; Eucoccidiorida; Sarcocystidae.